UUGGAGGGCAAGUCUGGUGCCAGCAGCCGCGGUAAUUCCAGCUCCAAUAGCGUAUAUUAAAGUUGUUGUGGUUAAAAAGCUCGUAGUUGAACCUUGGGCCUGGCUGGCCGGUCCGCCUCACCGCGUGUACUGGUCCGGCCGGGCCUUUCCCUCUGUGGAACCCCAUGCCCUUCACUGGGUGUGGCGGGGAAACAGGACUUUUACUGUAGAAAAAAUUAGAGUGCUCCAGGCGGGCCUAUGCUCGAAUACAUUAGCAUGAAUAUAAGAAUAGGACGUGUU
Molecule: ribosomal RNA, 279 nt
Filed under: uncultured Ascomycota
Lineage: Eukaryota; Fungi; Ascomycota
Description: partial 18S ribosomal RNA
Rfam family: Eukaryotic small subunit ribosomal RNA
Source: RNAcentral